Molecule: ribosomal RNA, 467 nt
Filed under: uncultured bacterium
Lineage: Bacteria
Description: partial 16S ribosomal RNA
Rfam family: Bacterial small subunit ribosomal RNA
Source: RNAcentral
GACGAACGCUGGCGGCGUGCUUAACACAUGCAAGUCGAACGGAAAGGCCCUGCUUUUGUGGGGUGCUCGAGUGGCGAACGGGUGAGUAACACGUGAGUAACCUGCCCUUGACUUUGGGAUAACUUCAGGAAACUGGGGCUAAUACCGGAUAGGAGCUCCUGCUGCAUGGUGGGGGUUGGAAAGUUUCGGCGGUUGGGGUUGGACUCGCGGCUUAUCAGCUUGUUGGUGGGGUAGUGGCUUACCCAGGCUUUGACGGGUAGCCGGCCUGAGAGGGUGACCGGCCACAUUGGGACUGGGAUACGGCCCAGACUCCUACGGGAGGCAGGAGCGGGGAAUAGUGCACAAUGGGCGGAAGCAGGAUGCAGCAACGCCGCGUGCGGGAUGACGGCCUUCGGGUUGUAACCCGCUUUCGCCUGUGACGAAGCGUGAGUGACGGUAAUGGGUAAAGAAGCACCGGCUAACUACGU